This 298-nucleotide long non-coding RNA is filed under the name Cavia porcellus (domestic guinea pig). RNAcentral describes it as "lncRNA (ENSCPOG00000035369.1)". The record is from RNAcentral. Lineage: Eukaryota; Metazoa; Chordata; Mammalia; Rodentia; Caviidae.
UUUGAAAGACUCUUGACACUUCUGAGAUGUGUAAUAAAUUCUCCAUGCAGGUUGUAGCAUGGGAACUGCUGGCUCAACAUAUGAAGCACCAGAAGAAAAAGCGACCCCUCGGGCUGCUCCAAAGCUGGGCUGCAUCUGCGGGUGACAAGCUGAGAACCAGGGCAACCUCACAAAGCCCACCGAGGAAACAGAAGCACCGAGAGGUGAAGAAAUUGCUGAAAGUCACAACAGCUACCAGAGCCAGGGGAAGAUUCAAACCCCAGGAGACUGCUGCCCACAGAGCAGGGCCUGCAUCGGA